GAGGCUGGCGGGCGCGGGGAAAAUGGCGGCGGCGGCGGCGGCUGCUGCAGCUACGAACGGGACCGGAGGAAGCAGCGGGAUGGAGGUGGAUGCAGCAGUAGUCCCCAGCGUGAUGGCCUGUGGAGUGACUGGGAGUGUUUCCGUCGCUCUCCAUCCCCUUGUCAUUCUCAACAUCUCAGACCACUGGAUCCGCAUGCGCUCCCAGGAGGGGCGGCCUGUGCAGGGUGAGUGUUGGGCUUAGACUCCAGUCUCUUCUCCUUGCUCACCUCCCCCAGGCAGUGAUCUUUUCCCCUUCCUCUACUGGAGCCAAUUCCCCCUCCCCCAAAUCAUCGUUUCCCCAAUACAUGGUUCCCACUGAUCUGAGACCCUCAGGUCAUAGAAGUUUCUUUACCCUCACCUUUUCCAUGUCAUUCUCUUUCCCAGUGAUUGGGGCUCUGAUUGGCAAGCAGGAGGGCCGAAAUAUCGAGGUGAUGAACUCCUUUGAGCUGCUGUCCCACACCGUGGAAGAGAAGAUUAUCAUUGACAAGGAAUAUUAUUACACCAAGGAGGAGCAGUGUGAGAGUGGAAUAGAUGUGGGGAAGAGGAGUGGGAGUUAAAAAAAAAUGUACAGGGUGGGGAAGAUGGAGAGGGUUGGAAAGAAACAGGAGAGGAGACCAAGAACAGGGGAGAAAAAGUGAAGAGUAGCUGGAGAGAUCUCAGAAAAAGAACACGUUCACAGUUCUUUCUCAAAAGAAAGUAAAGGAUGAGAGAAGACAGGAUAGAAGGGAGUAGUUAUUCUAAACUGAGCCGGGAUUUGAGGAGGGAGGAGAGAAGCUGGUGAAAAUACACCAGGAGCUUCACAUUGAGGAAGGAUGGUUUAAAGAAUUACUAUGUCAGGCCGGGCGCAGUGACUCACGCCUCUAAUCCCAGCACUUUGAGAGGCCGAGGUGGGUGGAUCAUGAGGUCAGGAGUUCAAGACCAGCCUGGCAAACAUAGUGAAACCCCAUCUCUACUAAAAAUACAAAAAUUAGUCUGGCAUGGUGGUGCGUGCCUGUAGUCCCAGCUACGCGGGAUGCUGAGGCAGGAGAAUUGCUUGAACCUGGGAGGCGGAGGUUGUGGUGAGCUGAGAUCAUGCCACUGCACUCCAGCCUGGGCAACAGAGCGAGAUUCCGUCUCAGAAAAAAAAAAAAA
RNAcentral lists this small RNA (1170 nucleotides) under Pan troglodytes (chimpanzee). Its description in RNAcentral is "retained intron". Lineage: Eukaryota; Metazoa; Chordata; Mammalia; Primates; Hominidae. The record is from RNAcentral.